This 867-nucleotide ribosomal RNA is filed under the name uncultured bacterium. RNAcentral describes it as "bacterial SSU rRNA". It matches the Rfam family "Bacterial small subunit ribosomal RNA", at positions 8 to 866 of the family's 1533-position model. The record is from RNAcentral.
AGAGUUUGAUCAUGGCUCAGGAUGAACGCUAGCUACAGGCCUAACACAUGCAAGUCGCGGGGCAGCAUGAAUUUAGCUUGCUAAAUUUGAUGGCGACCGGCGCACGGGUGAGUAACGCGUAUCCAACCUUCCCCUGUCCACGGGAUAGCCCGUCGAAAGGCGGAUUAAUACCGUAUGAGGUCACACGAUGGCAUCAGACUGUGACGAAAGGUUUGGCGGACAGGGAUGGGGAUGCGUCCGAUUAGCUUGUUGGCGGGGUAACGGCCCACCAAGGCAACGAUCGGUAGGGGUUCUGAGAGGAAGGUCCCCCACAUUGGAACUGAGACACGGUCCAAACUCCUACGGGAGGCAGCAGUGAGGAAUAUUGGUCAAUGGGCGAGAGCCUGAACCAGCCAAGUAGCGUGCAGGACGACGGCCCUAUGGGUUGUAAACUGCUUUUAUGCGGGGAUAACGUGCACCACGUGUGGUGUAUUGCAGGUACCGCAUGAAUAAGGACCGGCUAAUUCCGUGCCAGCAGCCGCGGUAAUACGGAAGGUCCGGGCGUUAUCCGGAUUUAUUGGGUUUAAAGGGAGCGUAGGCCGCUGUUUAAGUGUGUUGUGAAAAACCGGGGCUCAACUCCGGUCGUGCAGCGCGAACUGGACGGCUUGAGUGCGCGGUAAGUGGGCGGAAUUUGUGGUGUAGCGGUGAAAUGCUUAGAUAUCACGAAGAACUCCGAUUGCGAAGGCAGCUCACUGUAGCGCAACUGACGCUGAAGCUCGAAAGUGCGGGUAUCGAACAGGAUUAGAUACCCUGGUAGUCCGCACGGUAAACGAUGGAUGCCCGCUGUUCCGGCUAAUAGUUGGAGUGGCCAAGCGAAAGCGUUAAGCA